Molecule: ribosomal RNA, 1009 nt
Filed under: Flavobacteriales bacterium
Lineage: Bacteria; Pseudomonadati; Bacteroidota; Flavobacteriia; Flavobacteriales
Description: bacterial SSU rRNA
Rfam family: Bacterial small subunit ribosomal RNA
Source: RNAcentral
ACAACGGAGAGUUUGAUCCUGGCUCAGGAUGAACGCUAGCGGCAGGCCUAACACAUGCAAGUCGAACGGUAACAUAGAUUGCUUGCAAUCUGAUGACGAGUGGCGCACGGGUGCGUAACGCGUAUGCAACCUACCUUUAACUGGAGGAUAGCCCGAAGAAAUUCGGAUUAAUACUCCAUAAUAUAAGUCUUUCGCAUGUUAGACUUAUUAAAGCUUCGGCGGUUAAAGAUGGGCAUGCGUGACAUUAGUUAGUUGGUGAGGUAACGGCUCACCAAGACAGCGAUGUCUAGGGGGUCUGAGAGGAUUUUCCCCCACACUGGUACUGAGACACGGACCAGACUCCUACGGGAGGCAGCAGUGAGGAAUAUUGGUCAAUGGACGAAAGUCUGAACCAGCCAUGCCGCGUGCAGGAAGAAUGCCCUACGGGUUGUAAACUGCUUUUAUAUAGGAAUAAACCCCCGAACGUGUUCGGGGCUGAAGGUACUAUAUGAAUAAGGACCGGCUAACUCCGUGCCAGCAGCCGCGGUAAUACGGAGGGUCCAAGCGUUAUCCGGAUUUAUUGGGUUUAAAGGGUGCGUAGGCGGGACAUUAAGUCAGUGGUGAAAUCUUCCAGCUCAACUGGGAAACUGCCAUUGAUACUGAUGUUCUUGAGUUUGGUUGAAGUAAGCGGAAUGAGGCAUGUAGCGGUGAAAUGCAUAGAUAUGCCUCAGAACACCGAUCGCGAAGGCAGCUUACUAAGCCAAUACUGACGCUGAGGCACGAAAGCGUGGGGAGCAAACAGGAUUAGAUACCCUGGUAGUCCACGCCGUAAACGAUGAUUACUCGCUGUUGGCCAUACACAGUCAGCGGCUAAGCGAAAGUGAUAAGUAAUCCACCUGGGGAGUACGUUCGCAAGAAUGAAACUCAAAGGAAUUGACGGGGGCCCGCACAAGCGGUGGAGCAUGUGGUUUAAUUCGAUGAUACGCGAGGAACCUUACCAGGGCUUAAAUGUAGAACGACCGAUCUGGAA